GACGAACGCUGGCGGCGUGCUUAACACAUGCAAGUCGAACGGAAAGGCCCUGCUUGCAGGGUACUCGAGUGGCGAACGGGUGAGUAACACGUGGGUGAUCUGCCCUGCACUUCGGGAUAAGCCUGGGAAACUGGGUCUAAUACCGGAUAGGAGCCAUUUUUAGUGUGAUGGUUGGAAAGUUUUUUCGGUGUAGGAUGAGCUCGCGGCCUAUCAGCUUGUUGGUGGGGUAAUGGCCUACCAAGGCGGCGACGGGUAGCCGGCCUGAGAGGGUGGACGGCCACAUUGGGACUGAGAUACGGCCCAGACUCCUACGGGAGGCAGCAGUGGGGAAUAUUGCACAAGGGGCGCAAGCCUGAUGCAGCGACGCCGCGUGGGGGAUGACGGCCUUCGGGUUGUAAACUCCUUUCGCUAGGGACGAAGCUUUUUGUGACAGUACCUAGAUAAGAAGCACCGGCUAACUACGUG
This 465-nucleotide ribosomal RNA is filed under the name uncultured bacterium. RNAcentral's name for it is "partial 16S ribosomal RNA". It matches the Rfam family "Bacterial small subunit ribosomal RNA", at positions 28 to 507 of the family's 1533-position model. The record is from RNAcentral.